CCUACGGGAGGCUGCAGUGGGGGAUAUUGCACAAUGGGGGAAACCCUGAUGCAGCGACGCCGCGUGGGUGAAGAAGUAUUUCGGUAUGUAAAGCCCUAUCAGCAGGGAAGAAAGAAGACGGUACCUGACUAAGAAGCCCCGGCUAACUACGUGCCAGCAGCCGCGGUAAUACGUAGGGGGCGAGCGUUAUCCGGUUUCACUGGGUGUAAAGGGAGCGUAGACGGCCGUGCAAGCCAGGAGUGAAAGCCCGGGGCCCAACCCCGGGACUGCUCUUGGAACUGUGCGGCUGGAGUGCGGGAGGGGCAGGCGGAAUGCCUGGUGUAGCGGUGAAAUGCGUAGAUAUCAGGAGGAACACCGGCGGCGAAGGCGGCCUGCUGGACCGCGACUGACGUUGAGGCUCGAAAGCGUGGGGAGCGAACAGGAUUAGAUACCCUAGUAGUC
RNAcentral lists this ribosomal RNA (441 nucleotides) under uncultured bacterium. RNAcentral's name for it is "partial 16S ribosomal RNA". It matches the Rfam family "Bacterial small subunit ribosomal RNA", at positions 338 to 795 of the family's 1533-position model. The record is from RNAcentral.